UGGGGAAUAUUGGACAAUGGGCGAAAGCCUGAUCCAGCCAUGCCGCGUGUGUGAAGAAGGUCUUCGGAUUGUAAAGCACUUUAAGUUAGGAGGAAGGGCAGUAAGCGAAUACCUUGCUGUUUUGACGUUACCGACAGAAUAAGCACCGGCUAACUCUGUGCCAGCAGCUGCGGUAAUACAGAGGGUGCAAGCUUUAAUCGGAAUUACUGGGCGUAAAGCGCGCGUAGGUGGUUCGUUAAGUUGAAUGUGAAAGCCCCGGGCUCAACCUGGGAACUGCAUCCAAAACUGGCGGGCUAGAGUGGGGCAGAGGGUGGUGGAAUUUCCUGUGUAGCGGUGAAAUGCGUAGAUAUAGGAAGGAACACCAGUGGCGAAGGCGACCACCUGGGCUCAUACUGACACUGAGGUGCGAAAGAGUGGGGAGCAAACAGG
RNAcentral lists this ribosomal RNA (429 nucleotides) under Pseudomonadota bacterium. RNAcentral's name for it is "Proteobacteria bacterium partial 16S ribosomal RNA". It matches the Rfam family "Bacterial small subunit ribosomal RNA", at positions 355 to 776 of the family's 1533-position model. The record is from RNAcentral. Lineage: Bacteria; Pseudomonadati; Pseudomonadota.